RNAcentral lists this ribosomal RNA (468 nucleotides) under uncultured bacterium. Its description in RNAcentral is "partial 16S ribosomal RNA". It matches the Rfam family "Bacterial small subunit ribosomal RNA", at positions 28 to 507 of the family's 1533-position model. The record is from RNAcentral.
GACGAACGCUGGCGGCGUGCUUAACACAUGCAAGUCGAACGGAAAGGCCCUGCUUUUGUGGGGUGCUCGAGUGGCGAACGGGUGAGUAACACGUGAGUAACCUGCCCUUGACUUUGGGAUAACUUCAGGAAACUGAGGCUAAUACCGGAUAGGAGCUCCUGCUGCAUGGUGGGGGUUGGAAAGUUUCGGCGGUUGGGGAUGGACUCGCGGCUUAUCAGCUUGUUGGUGGGGUAGUGGCUUACCAAGGCUUUGACGGGUAGCCGGCCUGAGAGGGUGACCGGCCACAUUGGGACUGAGAUACGGCCCAGACUCCUACGGGAGGCAGCAGUGGGGAAUAUUGCACAAUGGGCGGAAGCCUGAUGCAGCAACGCCGCGUGCGGGAUGACGGCCUUCGGGUUGUAAACCGCUUCCGCCUGUGACGAAGCGUGAGUGACGGUAAUGGGUAAAGAAGCACCGGCUAACUACGUG